CAGAGAAUUGUGGGCCUUUGGAGAUGUUGAUUAUUAAAUAUCAAACACAUGCAAAUGUAAAAGGUAGACAAAAGUGAUUUGGCACAAUAAGACCCCUUUAACUAUCUU
Thalassophryne amazonica is the source of this 108-nucleotide long non-coding RNA. RefSeq lists it as uncharacterized. The record is from RefSeq and is a predicted model, not a curated record. Lineage: Eukaryota; Metazoa; Chordata; Actinopteri; Batrachoidiformes; Batrachoididae. The transcript has 3 exons.